RNAcentral lists this ribosomal RNA (305 nucleotides) under uncultured bacterium. RNAcentral's name for it is "bacterial SSU rRNA". It matches the Rfam family "Bacterial small subunit ribosomal RNA", at positions 334 to 655 of the family's 1533-position model. The record is from RNAcentral.
UCCUCCUAUGGGAGGCAGCAGUGGGGAAUAUUGCACAAUGGGGGAAACCCUGAUGCAGCGACGCCGCGUGAGUGAAGAAGUAUUUCGGUAUGUAAAGCUCUAUCAGCAGGGAAGAAAAAAGACGGUACCUGACUAAGAAGCCCCGGCUAACUACGUGCCAGCAGCCGCGGUAAUACGUAGGGGGCAAGCGUUAUCCGGAUUUACUGGGUGUAAAGGGAGCGUAGACGGCAGGGCAAGUCUGGAGUGAAAGGCAGGGGCCCAACCCCUGGACUGCUCUGGAAACUGUCCGGCUGGAGUGCAGGAGG